UAGGGAAUCUUCGGCAAUGGACGGAAGUCUGACCGAGCAACGCCGCGUGAGUGAAGAAGGUUUUCGGAUCGUAAAGCUCUGUUGUAAGAGAAGAACGAGUGUGAGAGUGGAAAGUUCACACUGUGACGGUAUCUUACCAGAAAGGGACGGCUAACUACGUGCCAGCAGCCGCGGUAAUACGUAGGUCCCGAGCGUUGUCCGGAUUUAUUGGGCGUAAAGCGAGCGCAGGCGGUUAGAUAAGUCUGAAGUUAAGGGCUGUGGCUUAACCAUAGUACGCUUUGGAAACUGUUUAACUUGAGUGCAAGAGGGGAGAGUGGAAUUCCAUGUGUAGCGGUGAAAUGCGUAGAUAUAUGGAGGAACACCGGUGGCGAAAGCGGCUCUCUGGCUUGUAACUGACGCUGAGGCUCGAAAGCGUGGGGAGCAAACAGGAUUAGAUACCCUGGUAGUCCACGCCGUAAACGAUGAGUGCUAGGUGUUAGACCCUUUCCGGGGUUUAGUGCCGCAGCUAACGCAUUAAGCACUCCGCCUGGGGAGUACGACCGCAAGGUUG
RNAcentral lists this ribosomal RNA (550 nucleotides) under uncultured bacterium. RNAcentral describes it as "bacterial SSU rRNA". It matches the Rfam family "Bacterial small subunit ribosomal RNA", at positions 355 to 896 of the family's 1533-position model. The record is from RNAcentral.